RNAcentral lists this unclassified non-coding RNA (382 nucleotides) under uncultured bacterium. Its description in RNAcentral is "contains 16S-23S intergenic spacer region". The record is from RNAcentral.
UCCGAGUUGACCCCGGCAGUCUCCUAUGAGUCCCCACCAUUACGUGCUGGCAACAUAGGACGAGGGUUGCGCUCGUUGCGGGACUUAACCAACAUCUCACGGCACGAGCUGACGACAGCCAUGCAGCACCUGUGCUAGUUCCCGACUUUACGGGUCGCAACCUGUUUCCAGGCGCUACUUCAAGCAUGUCGAACCCAGGUAAGGUUCUUCGCGUUGCAUCGAAUUAAACCACACGCUCCGCUGCUUGUGCGGGCCCCCGUCAAUUCCUUUGAGUUUUAGCCUUGCGACCGUACUCCCCAGGCGGGAUGCUUAAAGCGUUAGCUGCGCCACUGACGAGCAAGCUCGCCAACGGCUAGCAUCCAUCGUUUACGGCGUGGACUAC